This 460-nucleotide ribosomal RNA is filed under the name uncultured bacterium. Its description in RNAcentral is "partial 16S ribosomal RNA". It matches the Rfam family "Bacterial small subunit ribosomal RNA", at positions 338 to 795 of the family's 1533-position model. The record is from RNAcentral.
CCUACGGGGUGCAGCAGUGAGGAAUAUUGGUCAAUGGACGAGAGUCUGAACCAGCCAAGUAGCGUGCAGGAUGACUGCCCUAUGGGUUGUAAACUUCUUUUAUAUGGGAAUAAAAUGUUCCACGUGUGGGAUUUUGUAUGUACCAUAUGAAUAAGGAUCGGCUAACUCCGUGCCAGCAGCCGCGGUAAUACGGAGGAUCCGAGCGUUAUCCGGAUUUAUUGGGUUUAAAGGGAGCGUAGGUUGAUUUAUAAGUCAGUUGUGAAAGUUUGCGGCUCAACAGUAAAAUUGCAGUUGAAACUGGCGGUCUAGAGUACAGUAGCGGUGGGCGGAAUUCGUGGUGUAGCGGUGAAAUGCUUAGAUAUCACGAAGAACACCGAUUGCGAAGGCAGUUCACUGGACUGCAACUGACACUGAGGCUCGAAAGUGUGGGUAUCAAACAGGAUUAGAUACCCCAGUAGUC